GACGAACGCUGGCGGCGUGCUUAACACAUGCAAGUCGAACGGAAAGGCCCUGCUUUUGUGGGGUGCUCGAUUGGCGAACGGGUGAGUAACACGUGAGUAACCUGCCCCUGACUUUGGGAUAAAUUCAGGAAACUGGGGCUAAUACCGGAUAGGAGCUCCUGCUGCAUGGUGGGGGUUGGAAAGUUUCGGCGGUUGGGGAUGGACUGGCGGGUUAUGAGCUUGUUGGGCGGGUAGUGGCAUACCAAGGCUUUGACGGGUAGCCGGCCUGAGCGGGUGACCAGCCACAAGGGGACUGAGAGACGGACCAGACUCCUACGUGACGCAGCAGGGGGGAAUAUGACACAGUGGGCGGGAGUCUGAUGCAGAAACGCCGCGUGCGGGAUGACGGCCUAUGGGUUGUAAACCGCUUUCGCCUGUGACGAAGAGAGAGUGACGGUAAUGGGUAAGGAAGCACCGGCUAACUACGUG
RNAcentral lists this ribosomal RNA (468 nucleotides) under uncultured bacterium. Its description in RNAcentral is "partial 16S ribosomal RNA". It matches the Rfam family "Bacterial small subunit ribosomal RNA", at positions 28 to 507 of the family's 1533-position model. The record is from RNAcentral.